UACGUAGGUGGCAAGCGUUGUCCGGAUUUACUGGGCGUAAAGAGCGCGCAGGCGGUCGAUUUAGUCGCGUGUGAAAGCCCCCGGCUCAACUGGGGAGGGUCACGCGAUACUGAUCGACUCGAAGGCAGGAGAGGGUAGUGGAAUUCCCGGUGUAGUGGUGAAAUGCGUAGAUAUCGGGAGGAACACCAGUGGCGAAGGCAGCCAUCUGGACCGACACUGACGCUGAGGCGCGAAAGCGUGGGGAGCGAACAGG
RNAcentral lists this ribosomal RNA (253 nucleotides) under uncultured bacterium. Its description in RNAcentral is "partial 16S ribosomal RNA". It matches the Rfam family "Bacterial small subunit ribosomal RNA", at positions 524 to 776 of the family's 1533-position model. The record is from RNAcentral.